CACGUAGGGGGCAAGCGUUGUCCGGAUUCAUUGGGCGUAAAGAGCUCGUAGGCGGUUCGAUAAGUCGGGUGUGAAACCUCCAGGCUCAACCUGGAGACGCCACCCGAUACUGUCGUGACUAGAGUCCAGUAGGGGAGCGUGGAAUUCCUGGUGUAGCGGUGAAAUGCGCAGAUAUCAGGAGGAACACCAGCGGCGAAGGCGGCCAUCUGGACGGUAACUGACGCUGAGACGCGAAAGCGUGGGUAGCAAACAGG
Molecule: ribosomal RNA, 254 nt
Filed under: uncultured bacterium
Lineage: Bacteria
Description: partial 16S ribosomal RNA
Rfam family: Bacterial small subunit ribosomal RNA
Source: RNAcentral